CCUACGGGUGGCAGCAGUAGGGAAUCUUCCGCAAUGGACGAAAGUCUGACGGAGCAACGCCGCGUGAGCGAAGAAGGCCUUCGGGUCGUAAAGCUCUGUUGUUAGGGAAGAACAAGUACCGCAGUCACUGGCGGUACCUUGACGGUACCUAACGAGGAAGCCACGGCUAACUACGUGCCAGCAGCCGCGGUAAUACGUAGGUGGCAAGCGUUGUCCGGAAAUAUUGGGCGUAAAGCGCGCGCAGGCGGUUCCUUAAAUCUGAAGUGAAAGCCCACGGCUCAAACGUGGAGGGUCAUUGGAAACUGGGGGACUUAAGAGAGGCAGAGGAUAGCGGAUUGCCACGUGUGGCGGUGAUGUGCGUAGAGGUGUGGAGGAACUCCAUGGGCGAGGGCGGCUCUCUGGUCUGUAACUGACGCUGAGGCGCGAAAGCGUGGGUAGCAAACAGGAUUAGAUACCCGAUUAGUC
This 465-nucleotide ribosomal RNA is filed under the name uncultured bacterium. RNAcentral's name for it is "bacterial SSU rRNA". It matches the Rfam family "Bacterial small subunit ribosomal RNA", at positions 338 to 795 of the family's 1533-position model. The record is from RNAcentral.